UACAGAGGUCCCAAGCGUUGUUCGGAUUCACUGGGCGUAAAGGGUGCGUAGGCGGUCGGGUAAGUCUGAUGUGAAAUCUCCAAGCUCAACUUGGAAAUGGCAUCGGAUACUAUUCGGCUGGAGGAAUGGAGGGGAGACUGGAAUUCUCGGUGUAGCAGUGAAAUGCGUAGAUAUCGAGAGGAACACCAGUGGCGAAGGCGAGUCUCUGGACAUUUCCUGACGCUGAGGCACGAAAGCCAGGGGAGCAAACGGG
This 253-nucleotide ribosomal RNA is filed under the name uncultured bacterium. Its description in RNAcentral is "partial 16S ribosomal RNA". It matches the Rfam family "Bacterial small subunit ribosomal RNA", at positions 524 to 776 of the family's 1533-position model. The record is from RNAcentral.